This is a long non-coding RNA of Solanum pennellii, 1656 nucleotides long. RefSeq lists it as uncharacterized. The record is from RefSeq and is a predicted model, not a curated record. NCBI's taxonomy places the organism in Eukaryota, Viridiplantae, Streptophyta, Magnoliopsida, Solanales, Solanaceae. The transcript is spliced from 2 exons.
AGUGUUUAAAUUAAGUUAUAACUUAACUAAUUAGACUUAGAAAGUCUUUAAGUUCUCCAAAUAAGUUAAUUUGAUUUAGUUGAUGAUUAUAGUGUUUUAGUUAAGUUAAAAUUUAAUUAAUUAGACUUGGAAAGUCUUUAAGUUCUCCAAAUACUUAAUGUUAUUUAGUGGGUGAAUGUAGUGUUAAAAGUAAGUUAAAACUUAACUAAUUAGACUUAGAAAGUUGUUAUGUUUUCCAAAUAAGUAAUGUGAUUUUGUUGGUGAUAUAGUGUUUGUAAGUAAGUUAAAAAUUAAGUAAUUAGACUUAGAAAGUCUUUAAGUUCUCCAAAUACUUAAUGUGAUUUAGUUGGUGAAUAUAGUGUUAGAAGUAAGUUAAAACUUACCUAAUUAGACUUAGAAAGUUGUUAAGUUUUCCAUAUAAGCAAUGUGAUUUCGUUGGUGAAUAUAGUGUUUGGAAGUAAGUUAAAACUUAACUAAUUAUACUUACAAAGUAUUUAAGUUCUCCAAAUACUUAAUGUGAUUUAGUUGGUCAAUAUAGUGUUAGAAGUAAGUCAAACCUAAACUAAUUAGCCUUAGAAAAUCUUUAAGUUCUCCAAAUAUUUUAUGUGAUUUAGUUGGUCAAUAUAGUGUUAGAAGUAAGUAAAAACUUAACUAAUUAGACUUAGACAGUUGUUAAGUUUUCCAAACAAGUAAUGUGAUUUCGUUGGUGAAUAGUGUUAGAAGUAAGUUAAAACUUAACUAAUUAGACUUAGAAAAAUUGUUAAGUUCUUCAAAUAAGUUAAUGUGAUUUAGUUGGUGAAUAUAGUGUUUGAAUUAAGUCAUUUUUCAUUUCAGAAAUAUUAUGUCUGGGCUCCCGAUCAUGAGGAAGAAGUUCAAGCAAACUUUAAGGUUAAAGAUUCAAAGUUGCUGCCUAGCACAUUUAGUGAAUGUCGAAAAAAUAAUAGAAUUCCUUACUUUAUGGUACCAACUCGAUGGGAUCUAUUAAUGGAACAUUGGGAUAUUGAUGAAAACUUUAUAAAGAGGAGUGUGAUUGGGAAGAUGGCUCGCGCAUCAGAAAAGUCUCUUUGCACAUCGGUGGAGCUAUUAGCCUAAUUUCUAGGAAGGAAAGAAUGGUAAACUUUACUAAUUUUGUAAAAUAUUUGUUUUUAUUUUCUGAUAAGUAGUUUUUGUAGAUGAAAUUAUACUUGUUUUAUUUGCAGGAAAAAGAGUUGGGUAGGUCGGUAGCUGUAGAAGAGAUGUUCAAGGUUACUCACGUCAAGAAGAGUACGAAUCCCGAAGAAGAAGAAAGAUGGAUUGAGCCACGUGCAAAAGAGACAUAUGAAUACCGUAGUACUCUACCUCUUGAGAGACGGAAUAGAUCAUUUACACAAGAAGAAAGUGAGAAUCGUGAAAUAUUCUUCCUCCAUGUCCCGCAAGUAGUGAUGAUGGAGCUAAUCAGGAGGGUGAUGAGAAUGAUAAGGGUGAUAAAGAGAGUAUCGGUGAUAAUGAAUAGUUGUAUUGGUUUGACAUUUUAGACUUCUAUAUUUUUGGAUUGUCUGAUCAUAUUUUAGUUUAAUUUGAAGUUGGAUGAAGUUUAUUUUGAAAUAGUUUAAUGUAUAUUUUGAAAAUACUGUGUUGUUUUGGUUGGAUGAUGUUUAUUUUAAAAUAGCUCAUUUG